UGGGGAAUAUUGGACAAUGGGCGCAAGCCUGAUCCAGCAAUGCCGCGUGGGUGAAGAAGGCCUGCGGGUUGUAAAGCCCUUUAAGCGGGGAGGAAAGCCGGGGGUGAAUAGCGCCUCGGGUGACGUUACCCGCAGAAUAAGCACCGGCUAACUCCGUGCCAGCAGCCGCGGUAAUACGGGGGUGCGAGCGUUAAUCGGAAUUACUGGGCGUAAAGCGUGCGUAGGCGGCGCAAUCAGUCAGCCGUGAAAG
Molecule: ribosomal RNA, 250 nt
Filed under: uncultured bacterium
Lineage: Bacteria
Description: partial 16S ribosomal RNA
Rfam family: Bacterial small subunit ribosomal RNA
Source: RNAcentral